This 354-nucleotide unclassified non-coding RNA is filed under the name soil metagenome. RNAcentral describes it as "partial contains 5.8S ribosomal RNA, internal transcribed spacer 2, and large subunit ribosomal RNA". The stretch from base 1 to 120 matches the Rfam family "5.8S ribosomal RNA", at positions 35 to 154 of the family's 154-position model. The record is from RNAcentral.
GAUGAAGAACGCAGCGAAAUGCGAUAAGUAAUGUGAAUUGCAGAAUUCAGUGAGUCAUCGAAUCUUUGAACGCACAUUGCGCCCCCUGGCAUUCCGGGGGGCAUGCCUGUCCGAGCGUCAUUUCUGCCCUCCAGCCCGGCUGGGUGUUGGGCGCUGUCCCCCCGGGGACACGCCCCAAAGGCAGUGGCGGCGCCGCGUCGGGUCCUCGAGCGUAUGGGGCUUUGUCACCCGCUCGGGACGGACUCGUCGGCGCUGGUCUUCCUCCAGGCGACCCUUCGGGGCUCGUCUUCCUUCGGUUGACCUCGGAUCAGGUAGGGUUACCCGCUGAACUUAAGCAUAUCAAUAAGCGGAGGA